This 83-nucleotide transfer RNA is filed under the name Hippoglossus stenolepis (Pacific halibut). RNAcentral's name for it is "tRNA-Leu". It matches the Rfam family "tRNA". From Rfam's summary of the family: Transfer RNA (tRNA) molecules are approximately 80 nucleotides in length. The record is from RNAcentral. Lineage: Eukaryota; Metazoa; Chordata; Actinopteri; Pleuronectiformes; Pleuronectidae.
ACCAGGAUGGCCGAGAGGUUAAGGCGUUGGACUUAAGAUCCAAUGGGCAAAUGCCCGCGUGGGUUCGACCCCCACUCCUGGUA